Molecule: small nuclear RNA, 163 nt
Organism: Suncus etruscus (white-toothed pygmy shrew)
Lineage: Eukaryota; Metazoa; Chordata; Mammalia; Eulipotyphla; Soricidae
Product: U1 spliceosomal RNA
Exons: 1
Source: RefSeq, a predicted model, not a curated record
ACACUUACCUGGCAGGUAAGAUACCAUGAUUAUAAAGGUGGUUUUCCCAGAAUGAGGCUUAUCCAUUGCACUCUGAGUGUACUGGCCCUGUGAUUUUCACAAAAGUGGGGUACUCAACUCCUUGAUUUGUGGCAGUAGAGUACAGUGUUUGUGCUCUCUCCUG